GGGGCUGUAACGGUUUCGACGUUUUAACGAAAGUCGCGUUGUGAUUCAGGCCGAGAGUGAGUCCACUCUCGUAAAUCAAGGCUCAAACAAACGUAGAUGCGAACAACAUCGUACCUUUCGCUCGUAAGCAAGCAGCAGUUGCUAUUGCCUAAAAACCUCUCAUAGGUUCGAGCGUCCGCAGUUUGACUCCGUUAAGAGCUGUGGACCAACCCCCAACGGAUGCGCUAGCAAGCCGCCUCAGAUCGGCGAGCUAGCAAAGACCUUUAUCUGAGAAUCCUAUCGUCCGGGAUAAGGGACGAUUCCCGCCUUGAGGAUUAGAUAGGCUAAGCCUGUGAAUGAAUGACGCGUGAUUACUUAAAGCGGACACGGGUUCGACUCCCGUCAGCUCCAUCU
This 393-nucleotide transfer-messenger RNA is filed under the name Vasconcelosia minhoensis LEGE 07310. RNAcentral describes it as "Phormidium sp. LEGE 07310 transfer-messenger RNA". It matches the Rfam family "transfer-messenger RNA". Rfam says of the family: Bacterial tmRNA, also known as 10Sa RNA or SsrA, is named for its dual tRNA and mRNA-like properties. The record is from Rfam by way of RNAcentral. Lineage: Bacteria; Bacillati; Cyanobacteriota; Cyanophyceae; Nodosilineales; Cymatolegaceae. RNAcentral also lists the same sequence under 1 other name.